This 171-nucleotide ribosomal RNA is filed under the name uncultured bacterium. Its description in RNAcentral is "partial 16S ribosomal RNA". It matches the Rfam family "Bacterial small subunit ribosomal RNA", at positions 796 to 1041 of the family's 1533-position model. The record is from RNAcentral.
CACGCCGUAAACGAUGGAUGCUAGCUGUUAUAGGUAUCGACCCCUGUAGUAGCGAAGCUAACGCGUUAAGCAUCCCGCCUGUGGANGUAAACGAAGAACCUUACCCAGGUUUGACAUCCUUGGAAUUUCUCCGAAAGGAGAGAGUGCUUUAUUGAACCAAGUGACAGGUGU